This 388-nucleotide ribosomal RNA is filed under the name uncultured bacterium. RNAcentral describes it as "bacterial SSU rRNA". It matches the Rfam family "Bacterial small subunit ribosomal RNA", at positions 28 to 416 of the family's 1533-position model. The record is from RNAcentral.
GACGAACGCUGGCGGCGUGCUUAACACAUGCAAGUCGAGCGGUAAGGCCCUUUCGGGGGUACACGAGCGGCGAACGGGUGAGUAACACGUGGGUGACCUGCCCUUAGCUCUGGGAUAAGCCUGGGAAACUGGGUCUAAUACCGGAUAUGACUCCAUGACGCAUGUUGUGGGGUGGAAAGCCUUGUGCGGCUAGGGAUGGGCCCGCGGCCUAUCAGCUUGUUGGUGGGGUGAUGGCCUACCAAGGCGACGACGGGUAGCCGGCCUGAGAGGGCGACCGGCCACACUGGGACUGAGACACGGCCCAGACUCCUACGGGGGGCAGCAGUGGGGAAGUCUUGCGCAAUGGGCGAAAGCCUGACGCAGCGACGCCGCGUGAGGGAUGACGGCC